RNAcentral lists this ribosomal RNA (253 nucleotides) under uncultured bacterium. RNAcentral's name for it is "partial 16S ribosomal RNA". It matches the Rfam family "Bacterial small subunit ribosomal RNA", at positions 524 to 776 of the family's 1533-position model. The record is from RNAcentral.
UACAGAGGGGGCAAGCGUUGUUCGGAAUUACUGGGCGUAAAGGGCGCGUAGGCGGCCUGCUAAGUCGAACGUGAAAUCCCUGGGCUCAACCCAGGAACUGCGUCCGAUACUGGUUGGCUUGAAUCCGGGAGAGGGAUGCGGAAUUCCAGGUGUAGCGGUGAAAUGCGUAGAUAUCUGGAGGAACACCGGUGGCGAAGGCGGCAUCCUGGACCGACAUUGACGCUGAGGAGCGAAAGCUAGGGGAGCAAACGGG